RNAcentral lists this ribosomal RNA (253 nucleotides) under uncultured bacterium. RNAcentral describes it as "partial 16S ribosomal RNA". It matches the Rfam family "Bacterial small subunit ribosomal RNA", at positions 524 to 776 of the family's 1533-position model. The record is from RNAcentral.
UACAGGGGGUGCAAGCGUUGUUCGGAAUUACUGGGCGUAAAGGGUGCGCAGGCGGCGUCGCAAGUCAGGCGUGAAAUCCCCGGGCUUAACCUGGGAACUGCACUUGAAACUACGAUGCUGGAGUAUGGCAGAGGGAGGUGGAAUUCCACGUGUAGCGGUGAAAUGCGUAGAGAUGUGGAGGAACACCGAUGGCGAAGGCAGCCUCCUGGGCCAAUACUGACGCUCAUGCACGAAAGCGUGGGGAGCAAACAGG